UCUCGCCACCGGUCUGCACGGGCAACGCCUGCUCAAGCGCGCCUGCCUGCCCGUUGCACGCCGCGCCAACUUCACGCGCGCCUGCCUGUCUGUUUUGCACGCCGCGCAGCCCGCGCGCCCACCUGAGCUGCCGGCCUCCGGAGCGUUCGGCAACCGCUUAGCGGCUUAGGUGCAGUCGGCGGGGGCCAAUCGAAUCGAGCAGUAGCAGUAGCUUCCUGAGCCAUCAUUAAAUUCACCUCCAUCUGUAAUUAUCCUCACACCAUAGAUGACGGUGGCAAGCUCCUCCCCAAAUUCUCUGCUCUCUUGUUCCCUUGCGCUGUUGUGUUCAUCGUUCCCCACGUCAUGAGGGUUGACAGAUUGGACGCUGACCCAAACUAAAUCGGAGGCUACGGUGGCCGCCUAACGCGACCGCGACCAAGCACCGACCCAAUAUGGUGGCUUCGGCGGCGCGGGCCAUCAAAGCUGGCGGCGGCCCCAGGCGAUGGAGGCGGCGGCACGGCCCUAGGCAACGGAAGCGGCGGCGCGGUCCCUGGCGCAGACGCGCAGUGGCGCUGACGGCGGCGGCGCUGGCUACACGCGAUGGCGUGGCGCGGCCCCGCGGGCUGGAGGUGGAUGCCCCCACGCACUGGAGGCGGCUGCGGUGUCCCCAGGCACGGCCGGCGCCCGGCGGCAGCGUGUCUGCGUGAAGCCGUGAAGAGGAAGGUUUUUUUUUUACUGCCGAAUCGUUUUUUCCCGUAAUCUUUGCCAAUCCGGGAUUGAGCAAGGGCUUUUACGUAAAAUUGUGUUCAACCAAAACUUUGAAAUAAUCUACGUCAUAAAAUUUCUGCUAUUUUAAUUAUGUAUUAGAUGCUCAAACUGAUUAGACUCUAAAAUGUACGGUGCAGCAUUUUAGUUUGUCGGGGUGAUCUAUCUGGUUUUAUAAAGUUCACGAAAUUAUUUUAAGGAGGAAAAACCGAGGAGGUUUUCGGCCUAAAUCAACUAAACCCCGCAUUAAAAUUGACAACAUGACAUUUGUAUGUCGACAAGUCAGCAAAAUCAUCUACAAAACCAUUUAGGUUGGUCUCGGAGAUGAUUUGUCUGGUUUUGCGAAACCGAGGAGGCUGACUACCCGGUUUGGAAGUUCAAAGGGCAAAGUAGUCUCGGCUUCAAAGUACAGGAGUUCAUGAACUUACCCCGUCGCCCGCCCGAUUCGUAGGGUAUUUUUGUCUGCCCCUCCACUUCUGGCGGGAGAUAUUCGGAGCGAGCACCUCUGUUUCCGACCGCUCGCCGCGAGUUUGCCGCCACCGUCGGUCAGCUUUCCACGCGAAACUGACGGUGAGUCAUCCAUCGAAGGUCACCUUCUUCGGAUCUCACAGCUGCCGUGGCCCGUCCCGCUCGAGGAGAUGCAGACUUUCUUUUUGAGUUUCGCCGCGCAGCAAUUUUUGGAGGACUCGUUGUGGUAGGACGAUUCCUCGGACGACGAAUUCAGCUACGAUGACAUGCAGAAUAUAUUGAUGAUUCUCGCCCUGAAACACGUCGAAAUGGUGCCUCUACAUCUGCUUUCUCCCAACUCUUGUUUUCCUAGGGUUCGUGAGGAUUCCCAGCCGUCUGGUCGACCCUCUACGCCUACGCGACUAUGCCACCGCCACGACACUUGUUACUGGGGUGCUCUUCCUCGCUGUGCGGUUCCGAUCCGGCUGGGCGCACUGUUCAGUUUGGUCACCGUGCUGCUCCACCCAACACCACGACGGGAUCCAGAGGAUUUUUGGCGAGAGCCCGCAGAGACACCGUAAAUCCCAACCCAUGCUCAUUAAAUUUCUCUUAAUUCGCUGGUGAAUCUGUGGCUGCUGAUCGCUGGGGCAGGGUAUCUAGCUGUAAUGGCUAACCAGGGAUGGACCUUUUUUUUUUGAGAAAGGGAAUGGAGCUCUAAUCAAUUCACAAUGUUUUCUUUUCUGAUCGGUAACAUACUUAGUACUUACAUCUUUUAUGUAGCAUUUCAGAGUGCAUGUACUCCACUGCAGUAUUGGCGAUUGAUUACUAGACUAGAAACUAUAGUAGGAACUCCCAUUUCUUAUGAAACAUCUGCAAGCAUAUAAGCCUAGCAAAUUAGUUAUAGUAGUGUUUUUGAUUGGCUAAACUGUAAAUGUAUCGGACUCCUCUGCCCCAUGGUUGUCCCGGAGGUCAAGGCAACGCCGGAAACACGCUCCCCACCCGCGGCAAUAACAAGUUUAAGUCCUUCAUCCACCUCCUCCUCGAGUGCAAGUUCUGUUAUGAGUUCUCCGCUGCUCUAUUCUAGUGAUCCAGUCUAACUAUGUCGUUUAAAGAUGGGGAAUUAAUGAUAAAUUCGAUAUGUAAGACACAUUUUUAGUGCCAGAUUUGAUUGAACCAACUAGCCAUGCUUUUUUUCUUUGA
Brachypodium distachyon (stiff brome) is the source of this 2391-nucleotide long non-coding RNA. RefSeq lists it as uncharacterized. The transcript is spliced from 4 exons. The record is from RefSeq and is a predicted model, not a curated record. NCBI's taxonomy places the organism in Eukaryota, Viridiplantae, Streptophyta, Magnoliopsida, Poales, Poaceae.